GGCUCAAGUGAAUUUUCAUGCUGGCCCAUUAUCAAUUCAGCAUCUGGAACCCCCAGGAGGUUUCGGCAAUCCUGAUUUAGAUGUUGUAAAUUUGCCAAUGGGCGCUGAAUUAGCUGAAAUGAACGCAGCGAAUGCAGUAAAUGCAGCAGCUCAGAAUUUGCCAUUUGUUUUAGAUAAUGUAGAAUUGACCACUCAAGCAGCUUCUGCACUGGGUCGCGCCGUUCUUGUAUUUUUAAGACAAGUGUAGCUCAUUUUAAAAUCCAAAGCACCAAAAGUGUUCUUCAAUUUUCACUUGAGAGUUGUUAGAAUUCUUCCAAGCACUCGGCAAUUUAUGUAAACUAGAACAUCGUGCAUUGCCAAAAAGAAAAGUUUUUCUUUUUGGCAAAAGAACCUUAGAAACGUAGAGGACUUAAAACAACUUUUAUGAAAGCUCAACAGUUAAAAUAUAUAAAAAAGUAUUGAACUUUAGUAAGCUGGUUUUUCCUUUUUCAAGAAGGAAAAACCAAGGCAAGAGAUAGAUUUUUUUUGCAAUUUGAAAAUAACGAACAAAAAAAGAUUUUCUAAGAAAAAGGUUCCUCAUUUUUCUUUUAAGAAAAAGAUUUCUUUUUCUUAAAAGAACUGGUUAAUCUCUCAAGUUUCACUUGAGGACAAACGUAAUUGCAAGUUUUUCUUAAAACAAAUUAAGAAAAGAAUUCAAAAAAUUACAAGAAGAUUCUCUUACUGUUUGAAUUCCAUUAAUUACUACCGCAUUUAGAUUUGAGGCUUCCCUUCGACUUUUCAUAAGCUUGUAUACUAAUUCGUUAGCAUUGUCCAACUGCGUUUCCCCCCCAAUCUUGUAAGAUUCACAUGCAUGUACUACUCCAAAGGUUUCCAUUGCUCGUACAUGAGCGUCACCAACUGCUAUACGAAGUCCAUCACAUUCCUGUCCUGCGAGGUUUAGUGCAUGAAGACGGCUUUUUGCAUGUUCCACUUCUGGACUUAGUGUAUGUUUGUGUAAAGGGCUCCAACCUGUAAAUAAACCGUGUUUUUGUUCUAACGUUUUUAAUCGAUCCUCCCAUUCUCGUUUCUUAUAUUUUAGAUAAGAGUCUAAGUUAUUGACCCUUUUUUCAGCGUCUCUCAGAGUUCGGUGGAUGUAUGAAGGCACAGUCGAUGACCUCCCCAAGAAAUCUCCAGAAAACGCUAAAAAGGCCGAACCACCUAGCAGAUUACGCGCCGUCUUUGGGUUUAUAUGUUUCAUAAAGCCAUAAAAGAAAUUUUCGCUCCCAUAUUUAAUUGUUGAAGAAUGAAAAAAAUGACGUUGUACAUCACCCGUUAACCACAAGUGUUCUAUUUUUUUAUUUUCGAGGACAAGGUAUGUCAGAAUUAAAGGUGUGACAAAAAAAUUACGAAUAAAAACGAUGAUGAGUAAAUAAACACCAAUCCAAAAAUGUUCAUUGGUGGAAAACUGAGUUUCCAGUCUAAAGUAAACAAAGACAAAACUAAAAAUUUUGGGAUACUCUUUUUGUAAAAAUCUAAGAUAUUGAACAAAAGAAAAUUGUAAAAAAAAACCGAAAACUGUGUGAAAUUUUUCCAAAAAUUGAGGAAAAAUUUUUAACAAAACAAAAAAAAAACUAUAGGAAUAAAAAACGUCACUACCUGUUAAAGGAUUUUUGAGUAGAAAUUUACAGAACCAAAAAACCCAAAUGUUGAGAAAACUCGCAAAUGCAAGAUUAUGUAAUCCAAUAAAGGAAAAGAGGUUUUUAUCAAAAUAAAGGCAAUUUUUCAACCACAUAAAAUUUCUAAAUAUCUUUGCAAACAAAAUCAAGGUUCUUCUCAAGUGAAGCUUAAGAAGACUAAAAAAAAAAGGAAAACCUCUAGAAAAAAUCUAGAGGUUUAAAGUGAGUUAGUACGAGUUAGCUAUCAUAUCACUAUGAGUACACAUCUCGCCUAUUACGUAGUAGUCUUCUACGACUCAAAAACUUGUUUCGAGAAACGAAUUCCUGCUUGAGAUGCUUUCAGCAGUUCUACGUUCCGAACGUAGCUACUCAGCGAUGCUGCUGGCGCAACAACUGAUACACUAGAGGUUCGUCAUUCCCGGUCCUCUCGUACAAGGGAAUGGUUCUCUCAAUUUUUACCACCCGAAAAAGAUAGGAUCCGUACUGUCUCACGACGUACUAAACCCAACUCACGUACCGCUUUCAUCGGCGAACAGCCGAACCCUUCGAACCUUCUUCAGCUCGAGGAUGCGAUGAGUCGACAUCGAGGUGCCAAACGACUCCGUCGAUAAGAGCUCUUGGGAGUCAUCAGCCUGUUCAAUUUUGUUAUCGUAAAAGUUCUUUAUCUUUUACUUCUCUAUGUUUCCAUAAAGUUCAGACUAUGUCAUCAACUCUUUCUGUCACUCAUGAAGAGUUUUUUCAGUGAAACUCAACGGUAAUUUAUAACGCAUUGAUGGAAUAAGAUAAGGAUCUAGUAAACACAUCAUUUUGUCAUAACUCAACGCCGAAAUUACUAUGAGAAACCCCUUUUUAUUUGGUUUUGGCCAACAAUGAAGACCAAAUUUUUGAGUCAAUCCGUCACAUAACAGUCUCACGUUAGUGAGAGUAAAUCCUUGAGUAUUGAACACAAAACCUUUUCUUUGAUAAUCUUUAUUAUAACAAGAUUUCCCACCAUCAUCCAUCCACCAAUAGGCAAGACUGCGAGGUGUUACAUACUUUUGUAUAAAAUCUGGUUUGAUCGUCUUUUUACAAGACAAACCAUCAUCAUCGAUCACAAAAAGCUGAGCGAUUUUGUUAAAAUCACAAUGCGAAAAAGUUUGGAAACUCCACAUUUGACGUUUUUCAUUGAAAAAAGGUGGGGAAAGCACCCAGUCAGCGAAAACAUCAUGUAAAUGCAAGAGAUACUCACGAUGGAGUUUCUCUGCUUGUGAAAAUUUCAAACGAUAGCUCAAUCCGCCAUUUUGUGUUUGAAGACUAGCAUCACCUAACAUGACACCAAGUGCAAUUUCAAAAAGUGGUUGAGAUAAAGUCAGUGUCUUUUUAUAGACUUUCAAGAGAUGUCUCUGUUUUGGAUUUGGUUUUUCCAUAAGGACAUAUUUUUUUAGAGUUGCUGGGCGCUCGUGGAGAAAUUAUUGGGAGGAAUUCCUCAUUCUCUAGUCGUUGAACGUUCAUUUCUACUCUGUAGUUCCAUUCGAAAUGCUUCGCUGCAAGUUGACAUGGCAUGACUCUCUUGAGAAGGAGAAACACACUGUAGCGUUCUUGCAAUUCACCCAGUCUAUUUAUCUUAAGAACACAGUUCUUAAGAAACGCUAUGAUCCUUCUCACGAAGGAUUAGGACUAACAGUUAAUCCCUAGCGUACCUUUGAUCCGUUGAUCGAGAGCCUUUCCACCAAGAA
RNAcentral lists this ribosomal RNA (3370 nucleotides) under Micractinium pusillum. Its description in RNAcentral is "large subunit ribosomal RNA". Lineage: Eukaryota; Viridiplantae; Chlorophyta; Trebouxiophyceae; Chlorellales; Chlorellaceae. The record is from RNAcentral.